RNAcentral lists this long non-coding RNA (423 nucleotides) under Rattus norvegicus (Norway rat). RNAcentral's name for it is "long non-coding RNA NONRATT001376". The record is from RNAcentral. Lineage: Eukaryota; Metazoa; Chordata; Mammalia; Rodentia; Muridae.
GCAUACCAUGACUGCCCUGGCCUCAGCACUGGUUGAGCAAACCAUGCAGCUCCAGGGGCUUCUGGGAGGAAAGUGGAAUUGGGGGAAGCUAAGCACACUGUGCUGGGAGGGCUAGUCAGGGUGGGCAACCAUGCAUGCUGCUUUUGUCCAGGACUGCCUCCAGAGCAUCAGGAACUUUCUGUGGACACACUACCGUAUCGCUUCCACCCUGACCUGCACCAGCCUGGCCCUCACGGUAGUUACCAGUUCCUUCCUGGCCCUCCCUCUAUCCUGCCCUGCCUUGCCCCUUUCCUGAUAGGAGGCAGUCCUGGGUUAUUGACCCCAGGCCAACGCGCUAGUUGUGGUACUACCAAGAUCUUCCAGGCCCAGUAUUCAGGGAGGCACCAGCCCCUGACCCAGGGAGGAGGGCCCAGUGCCUAGCUC